RNAcentral lists this ribosomal RNA (301 nucleotides) under uncultured bacterium. Its description in RNAcentral is "partial 16S ribosomal RNA". It matches the Rfam family "Bacterial small subunit ribosomal RNA", at positions 509 to 807 of the family's 1533-position model. The record is from RNAcentral.
CAGUCGCCACGGUAAUACAGAGGGUGCGAGCGUUAAUCGGAUUUACUGGGCGUAAAGCGUACGUAGGCGGCUCUUUAAGUCGGAUGUGAAAUCCCCGAGCUUAACUUGGGAAUUGCAUUCGAUACUGGGAAGCUAGAGUAUGGGAGAGGAUGGUAGAAUUCCAGGUGUAGCGGUGAAAUGCGUAGAGAUCUGGAGGAAUACCGAUGGCGUAGGCAGCCAUCUGGCCUAAUACUGACGCUGAGGUACGAAAGCAUGGGGAGCAAACAGGAUUAGAUACCCGAGUAGUCCCUGUCUCUUAUAC